GAUGAAGAACGCAGCGAAAUGCGAUAAGUAAUGCGAAUUGCAGAAUUCAGUGAGUCAUCGAAUCUUUGAACGCACAUUGCGCCCUGUGGUAUUCCGCAGGGCAUGCCUGUUCGAGCGUCAUUUCAACCCUCAAGCUCUGCUUGGUGUUGGGCCCUGCCCGCUGCGGCCGGCCCUAAAGACAGUGGCGGUGCCGCCUGGCCCUGAGCUUAGUACAUCUCUCGCUCCAGUGCCCGGUGGUAGCCUGCCAGAACCCCAACUCUCGUGGUUGACCUCGGAUCAGGUAGGGAUACCCGCUGAACUUAAGCAUAUCAAUAAGCGGAGGA
RNAcentral lists this unclassified non-coding RNA (323 nucleotides) under soil metagenome. RNAcentral describes it as "partial contains 5.8S ribosomal RNA, internal transcribed spacer 2, and large subunit ribosomal RNA". The stretch from base 1 to 120 matches the Rfam family "5.8S ribosomal RNA", at positions 35 to 154 of the family's 154-position model. The record is from RNAcentral.